RNAcentral lists this ribosomal RNA (778 nucleotides) under uncultured bacterium. RNAcentral describes it as "bacterial SSU rRNA". It matches the Rfam family "Bacterial small subunit ribosomal RNA", at positions 88 to 883 of the family's 1533-position model. The record is from RNAcentral.
UGACUGAGCGGCGGACGGGUGGAGUAACGCGUGGGUAACCUGCCUCAUACAGGGGGAUAACAGUUAGAAAUGACUGCUAAUACCGCAUAAGACCACAGGGUCGCAUGACCCGGUGGUAAAAACUCCGGUGGUAUGAGAUGGACCCGCGUCUGAUUAGCUAGUUGGUGGGGUAACGGCUCACCAAGGCGACGAUCAGUAGCCGACCUGAGAGGGUGACCGGCCACAUUGGGACUGAGACACGGCCCAAACUCCUACGGGAGGCAGCAGUGGGGAAUAUUGCACAAUGGGGGAAACCCUGAUGCAGCGACGCCGCGUGAAGGAUGAAGUAUUUCGGUAUGUAAACUUCUAUCAGCAGGGAAGAAAAUGACGGUACCUGACUAAGAAGCCCCGGCUAACUACGUGCCAGCAGCCGCGGUAAUACGUAGGGGGCAAGCGUUAUCCGGAUUUACUGGGUGUAAAGGGAGCGUAGACGGCAUGGCAAGUCUGAAGUGAAAGCCCGGGGCUCAACCCCGGGACUGCUUUGGAAACUGUCAGGCUAGAGUGCUGGAGAGGUAAGUGGAAUUCCUAGUGUAGCGGUGAAAUGCGUAGAUAUUAGGAGGAACACCAGUGGCGAAGGCGGCUUACUGGACAGUGACUGACGUUGAGGCUCGAAAGCGUGGGGAGCAAACAGGAUUAGAUACCCUGGUAGUCCACGCCGUAAACGAUGACUACUAGGUGUCGGGUAGCAAAGCUAUUCGGUGCCGCAGCAAACGCAAUAAGUAGUCCACCUGGGGAGUAC